This is a non-coding RNA of Acanthosepion pharaonis, 104 nucleotides long. The record is from the annotation of a GenBank genome assembly. Lineage: Eukaryota; Metazoa; Mollusca; Cephalopoda; Sepiida; Sepiidae.
UUACGGCCAUAUCACGUUGAAACACCGGUUCUCGUGCGCUCACUGAAGUUAAGCAACGUCGAGCCUAGUCAGUACCGAGACGCUUGAGAAUACCAGGUGCUGUG